GUUGAACGCUGGCGGCAUGCCUUACACAUGCAAGUCGAACGGUCACACGUCUUCCGUUGCUGACUAGUGUCGAACGGGUGCGUAAUACAUCGGCACGUGCCCGCUCGUUGUGGGUAACGGAUCACUAGCUUUGCUAGUACCUCAUACGAUCUACUGUUGUAAACAGCGUACCUCAAAGGCUUGCGCGGGCGUUGCUGCCGAUGGUAGAUUAGGUAGUUGGUCGGGUAAAAGCUUACCAAGCAGACGAUCUCUAGCGGGUCUGAGAGGACGAGCAGCCACACUGGGACUGAGACACGGUCCAGACUCCUACGGGAGGCAGCAGUGGGGAAUCUUGCACAAUGGGCGAAAGCCUGACCGAGCCACGCCGCGUGCAGGAUGAAGGUCUUCGGGUCGUAAAACGCUGUUGUAAGGAAAGAAAAGAUGCGUAAGAAAAAAGAGAGAUCAUGACGGUACCGUAACAAUAAGCCCCGGCUAACUACGUG
This 482-nucleotide ribosomal RNA is filed under the name uncultured bacterium. RNAcentral describes it as "partial 16S ribosomal RNA". It matches the Rfam family "Bacterial small subunit ribosomal RNA", at positions 28 to 507 of the family's 1533-position model. The record is from RNAcentral.